GGGCCUGUAGCUCAAUUUGGUUAGAGCGAGCCGCUCAUAACGGCUUAGUUGCGGGUUCGAGUCCUGCCGGGCCCA
This 75-nucleotide transfer RNA is filed under the name marine sediment metagenome. It matches the Rfam family "tRNA". From Rfam's summary of the family: Transfer RNA (tRNA) molecules are approximately 80 nucleotides in length. RNAcentral also lists the same sequence under 1 other name. The record is from RNAcentral.